AGAGUUUGAUCAUGGCUCAGGAUGAACGCUGGCGGCGUGCCUAACACAUGCAAGUCGAGCGAUUCUCUUCGGAGAAGAGCGGCGGACGGGUGAGUAACGCGUGGGUAACCUGCCCUGUACACACGGAUAACAUACCGAAAGGUAUGCUAAUACGGGAUAACAUAAGAAAUUCGCAUGUUUUUCUUAUCAAAGCUCCGGCGGUACAGGAUGGACCCGCGUCUGAUUAGCUAGUUGGUGAGGUAACGGCUCACCAAGGCGACGAUCAGUAGCCGACCUGAGAGGGUGAUCGGCCACAUUGGAACUGAGACACGGUCCAAACUCCUACGGGAGGCAGCAGUGGGGAAUAUUGCACAAUGGGCGAAAGCCUGAUGCAGCAACGCCGCGUGAGCGAUGAAGGCCUUCGGGUCGUAAAGCUCUGUCCUCAAGGAAGAUAAUGACGGUACUUGAGGAGGAAGCCCCGGCUAACUACGUGCCAGCAGCCGCGGUAAUACGUAGGGGGCUAGCGUUAUCCGGAUUUACUGGGCGUAAAGGGUGCGUAGGCGGUCUUUUAAGUCAGGAGUGAAAGGCUACGGCUCAACCGUAGUAAGCUCUUGAAACUGGAGGACUUGAGUGCAGGAGAGGAGAGUGGAAUUCCUAGUGUAGCGGUGAAAUGCGUAGAUAUUAGGAGGAACACCAGUAGCGAAGGCGGCUCUCUGGACUGUAACUGACGCUGAGGCACGAAAGCGUGGGGAGCAAACAGGAUUAGAUACCCUGGUAGU
RNAcentral lists this ribosomal RNA (758 nucleotides) under uncultured bacterium. RNAcentral's name for it is "bacterial SSU rRNA". It matches the Rfam family "Bacterial small subunit ribosomal RNA", at positions 8 to 794 of the family's 1533-position model. The record is from RNAcentral.